UACGUAGGGUGCAAGCGUUGUCCGGAAUUAUUGGGCGUAAAGAGCUCGUAGGCGGUCUGUCGCGUCGGCUGUGAAAACCUGGGGCUCAACCCCAGGCCUGCAGUCGAUACGGGCAGACUAGAGUCCGGCAGGGGAGACUGGAAUUCCUGGUGUAGCGGUGAAAUGCGCAGAUAUCAGGAGGAACACCGGUGGCGAAGGCGGGUCUCUGGGACGGUACUGGACGCU
This 225-nucleotide ribosomal RNA is filed under the name uncultured bacterium. Its description in RNAcentral is "partial 16S ribosomal RNA". It matches the Rfam family "Bacterial small subunit ribosomal RNA", at positions 524 to 747 of the family's 1533-position model. The record is from RNAcentral.